UACAGAGGGUGCGAGCGUUGUCCGGAAUCACUGGGCGUAAAGGGUGAGUAGGUGGCCUGUUAAGCGUGUGGUGAAAGCCUGGGGCUCAACCCCAGGUCUGCCGUGCGAACUGACAGGCUUGAGCAGAGUAGAGGCGAGUGGAAUUUCGGGUGUAGCGGUGGAAUGCGUAGAUAUCCGAAAGAACACCGGUGGCGAAGGCGACUCGCUGGGCUCUUGCUGACACUGAAUCACGACAGCGUGGGGAGCAAACAGG
This 253-nucleotide ribosomal RNA is filed under the name uncultured bacterium. RNAcentral describes it as "partial 16S ribosomal RNA". It matches the Rfam family "Bacterial small subunit ribosomal RNA", at positions 524 to 776 of the family's 1533-position model. The record is from RNAcentral.